RNAcentral lists this long non-coding RNA (4952 nucleotides) under Elaeis guineensis (African oil palm). Its description in RNAcentral is "long non-coding RNA (EGUI_LNC000568)". The record is from RNAcentral. Lineage: Eukaryota; Viridiplantae; Streptophyta; Magnoliopsida; Arecales; Arecaceae.
UUGCUUGGUAGGUUUUUGGACGCAAAUCCAUCCCCAGUGCUUUCACUCUGCCCUGUGAAAGAGAAGAUCAAGAAGAGGAUUAGAAAAGGCAUGACUUUCGACGUGGUUAAGUUCUCAACUUUUAACCAUUGUUCUUAGGGGGCGACCAGUGAUUUAAGGAGACGUAAGGCUUUAUAAAGGCAGGUGGAAAUGUUAUAGAGGCUUUUGGCAUCGUUCCCGGGCACUAACUUUGUAGAAUGAUGGUGAAAUCCAUCAGGCCACAAAACAAAGUCAACUGCACCAAGUUUUCCUACUUCAUUUUCACAAUUUCUACCUCUCUUCACUCCAUCAAAAGGCUAUCGUAUGUGGGGUGGUGGCCGGUGGGAGUAAACUGCAUGGCCUCAUCUCACAGUGGUUUUUAACUAGAUGGAACCGGAGGUUUUCAUGCUCACUUAUUCUCUUUUUUUUUUUUGGUAAGAACUGGAGCCUGAAGCUUUCAUUAUCAUAUAUAGUAACAUGUAGUACAUAGAAGAACUUGUUGUGAUAACCAUCAGCAUGGUACAAGCAUACCCAGUCUAAACAACACAAGGCACCAAAUAUGUAAUACAUCAUAGUAUGACCCCACAUGAAAAUUCCAUUUCUUCUUAGACCAGGUCAAGAGAUCGACUGCCAAAUAGUCAUGAGCAGAUAUCAGCAAGCAAUUAUGAAUUUGCUACCAAUAAAAUCUGCAGCACGAUUAGCUUCCCUACAUAUGUGAGAAGUACUAAAAUUCCUAUAGCAAUUCUUCCAGUGCACAAUAUCCAGUAAAACAGGGUACUCAAGCUUUUUAGUGAUUGAUUGAUUUGAGAUUAGAGACAUAGCAUGCAAGGAAUCUCCCUCAAGAUAGAUAUCAUAUGAGUGCAAUUCUACCACUGCAACAAACAUACCCCACCAGGCUGCAAUUAAUUCUGCAUAAUUAAUAGGAGAAAUAGAUGUCUGUUUACCCCCUGCUCUAAUAAGAGUUCUAUUGCAAUCUUUGAUAAUAUAGCCUACAGCCACCUUAUCUGUCAGCACAGCCACAUCAAAAUUAACCUUGAGAUAUCCAGAGGGGGGAGGUGACCAAAAAACAGCAAUAUAGGAUGAAUUGCCUAGAUUGGGCAUCUUUAAAUCACAACAGCACCUCAACGGAGUCCUAAGAUCCACAUGAUUGCUGGUGCUGUUCUGACAGUUAACAUACAAACAAACCUGUCUCAUUUGUUGAAAUGGGGAAGCAGCAUACUUCUGAAACACCCUGUCAUUCCUACCAAUCCAAAUUCACCAAGCAGUAAUUGCUAUCAUUGCUUUAUUUCUUCCCUAUACCUGGGCAGCAGACAUAGUAUCUACCAGACUCGGCAAAGAGCUUGGAAUACUAUCUAUCGCAUACCAACUUUUCAAUAAAUCCCAGCAAGCAGCUGCAUAGGGGCAUUCAAUUAACACAUGAUUCGUGUCCUCUAUAGCAUAUCUAAACUCCCGUUAUAGUUCCAAGAACCAGUGUCCAUAGGCUAAAAAUACCAUUUAAACCGAGAUGAAGGAAACUCAGAUAUUUGGUGGUGCAUAAUCUCAAGCCUUGCAAUCAGGAUGUUGUACUUUGCCAUUGUUGAUGUAUUGUUAGUCCAGCGACCAAACUGUUAAUCAGAAAGAUCAACAUCAACGGUGAAGAAAGGUAGAUGGCAGAACCCAGGCCUGCACACAAUAUAUCGGGACAAUUGAUUUUUUUUCUUUCUUUUUGUGUGUGUGGAAAAACUUAUUAAAAAAUAAAUUCUUUGAACCUCUCAAAAACAACAACGUAAAUAAGAAUCUCUACAAAGAUUUGUUGCCAGGAAACAAGGGAACCAUGAUAGAUGAACAUAGCUAAGUUUAUGGGCACAUGCAAGGGGGGUCAGGAAAAUUUGCUAUUCUACUUGCACACCCAUGAAUCCGAACCAUCCAGGUCAUCCUAUAAAUUUUCAACAUGGCCACCCAUUGAAAAUAGAAAGUUGCAUUACCUGCAACUAUGAAUUUAACUAUUGAUAGUUUGCUAAUAAUAUAUAUAUAAAAAAAAUAGAGGGGAAAAAGAAAACAACAUGCACUAUUUUAAGGCAUGGUAAGUGGCCAUCGUCCUCAGUCCUCAAGGCGAUUUUGGGCCAGAGGGGAACCUGUAUCAUCAUUAGUUAAUGGGAAUAUGGAAUCAACAUUAGAAGAAGAAGAGGAGGAGGCACUAUCUCUGGAGAAUUUGGAAAAUCCAAUAAAAACAUCUCAAAGGUUCAGAUCAUAUUCUUGAAAAGGAGAGGAAAAAAAAAUAUGAUAAUAAUAAUAUGAAAUAUGAUAUCAACUCUUCAUGAAAAGGAGACAACAUAUCCAACAGCACUAUGGCAGUCUUCUGUUACUAAUCUUUACGCGUUGACGGACAAGAAAACCGUAUGUAUGAGAAGCAUCAUAUGAUCAAUGUAGUUACCCAGUGGCUUACUAGCAGCAUCACCAAAUUAAUGGCAAAAUUGGCUACAUUCUUGUAAGAUAAAUUGGCAUGUACUACAAUAGAAGAGCUCAACUUUCUUGGUACAUAUAUAAGUGAUCUAUGCUAAUGUAGAGAAGUAAGAUAAACCUGUGAAGAUACUAGCUGCGGGUGGUCCAACUUGGACCAGCAAGAAAUGCAAAUGAGGACUCCCAACUAUCAUGGACUUCCUGAAAGUAAUCUUAACAUAGAAAGCAAAUUGAUAAGGCACCUAUUGCCAUAUUAAAAUUGUACAACUGAACCAAUCAUAUAAACAAGGACAGCUCAUAAUUCAUUAUUGUUAUCAUAGGGUGUACAAUAUCACAGUAAAUAUUACUAAAGCUCACUGGUUGAUCAUUUUCUGCUUUAGAAUAAAACCCACACAUAGAAGGAAAAAAAGCAGAAAACAUAAGCAUUAAAAAAAAAAAAUCUUACUAAAAUCACAAAGCAUGCAAAAGAAAAGAUACAGCAGGUUAAAAGAAAUUUGAAAGACUUCACUAAAGACUAAUCUGUUUUGUUCCUUUAGUUUAAAACUCAGGUCUUCUGGAUCUUGAAGUUAUAUGAACUAUCAGAUUUCUCCCAAAAAGAAAAAGAGUAUUUAACCUAUCCAAAUACUAAAAUACUCAUAUCUGCUGUCCAGUUUUCCCCAGGUCAUUGACAACCAUGUAUCAUAUACAAGGGAACCUACAAGUAGAAAAACAAAAAAGAGAAGAAUUCUAACAUAGGAUGUUAGGUAAAAUUAAAUUAUAUGAUUUAGCUCAUGAUUACCUGUUUUCUUACCGCUGAUAUGGCUAGAAUAAUCUUGAUUAAAAAAUAUUUCCAAAUUUAUCAAGUUUAGGAUAUCAAGAGGAAAAAGGGGAGAAUUUAGAAGGAGAAAAAGACCUAGCUGGAGCUCUUUCUCCAAGGCCUCAAUCAAGCCUUCCACUUCUGCUCCUCAAUGAACCUCAUCACCACCACCUCCUCAAUCACCAUAUAUGAGGAUCCUACAUUGGUCUUGCAAUAGGGAGUCUCAUGUACUUAUACCAGGCCAAGGAACCCACUACCGUCCGGCUCUAGAAAAUUUGUAUCUCAUAAGAACUUGGAAAAUUGUAUUGGCUCUAGAAGCUCUCCCACAAAAGAGGCCUUAGUUGUACUCUUUUGCCAUCAAGUGAUAAUCAAUAAAGUUUUUAAAGUUCUUCAUCAAUUCAUUGAUUGGAGCGAUUCCCUUCUUGCCAUGGUGUGAGACCAUGAUCCUGUGAGAGAUGAUUGGUACAAGGAUGAAUUCUUUGAGCAUUCCGCAGAGAGGUUGAAGGUGAAAGGGUGAAGACUCUCAAGGAGGUUGGUGCGAGGUCAACAGUAAAACCUUGCUUCCACAUAUUCCAUAUUCUCGUGCAGGCUUGCCUGCAUCAGUUUUCGUAUCAAAGCAAAAAAAAAUAUGAACCUCAUUGUUUUAUCGUUCUCGCAUACCCCUUUAUAGCUUUCCUUCACCACCCUAUCUGUAUGAUCAACAGUCCUCUUCUGCUUCAUCCCAGAAAAGAAAUAAUGAUUGCUCCAAAGGUUUCCAAUCCCAAUCCCAAUCCUAAUCACCCAAUACCUCCUUUGGACAACAUCCUUGUAGCUGUACUAUCCAAUAUGAGGCUUAAUCCAAGUUAGUUAGGAUGCGUUCGGACAACAUAUCCAAUACCAUUUGACCCUGAUUUCAAACUGUUUAAUAUUUAGGGCCACAAGAUCCAAGUUGGACCUGGUUUUCUAGCUAGGUUAAACCUGGGAUUCCGAGGUUAAGCCAAAGCUGACUUCUACUGCCUUUGGGAUUCUGCUCUAAUUCCAAAUAGACCAUUUCAAACCAAGCUUAUCCAAGAACAUUCAAAAGAUUUUCCGAGAAAGACCAUUUAGAGCUCUCUAAAGAGAUCAUGGAUCACCGACGAAUUGACUAUUGCCACAGCUUCGACACCGUUCCAAUUCACAACAUACCUAGCAUCGAAACCUUAUUUUCCCCGUCAAAAGUCUAGUCCACAGAAAUAAAAAGAAAUAAAAAGCAUGGAGGAAUACCCAUUAAAAUCCUAAGUCGAAAACCAAAAUUAUCUUUGAGUACGAUCUCGAGAAAGCGAGAAAUCUCAAGAAGAAGCACUAAGAACGACCCAAAAAGAAAAUGAGAAGGCCACGAACUCAUACCUCAAGAAGAAUCACCAAGAACGAUAACAAAAGAAAAGGAGAAGUCCAAGAACUCAUCCCUCAAGAGAGUCACCAAAAACGAUCAAAAAAGAGAAGGAGAAGGCCAAGAACUCAGACCUCAAUAAGAAGCACCAAGAACGAUCCAAAAAAAAACAGAGAAGGCCACGAACUCGUACCUUACCCCGAGCAAAGACGAAGAGCUUCGUAUGCGUAUCUUCUUCUCCAGCGAUGGACGGACGGAGGAGACCGAUCCGAUCGGGGCGUUGGUCGCGAAUGAAAAGCCUGGGAGCAUCGAGAUGGUCGGAAGGAAAAAAUAGAAACCCACAUUGUUUCG